This 166-nucleotide ribosomal RNA is filed under the name Staphylococcus aureus. RNAcentral's name for it is "partial 16S ribosomal RNA". It matches the Rfam family "Bacterial small subunit ribosomal RNA", at positions 359 to 524 of the family's 1533-position model. Lineage: Bacteria; Bacillati; Bacillota; Bacilli; Caryophanales; Staphylococcaceae. The record is from RNAcentral.
CAUUUCGCAUGGGCGAGCCUGACGGAGCACGCCGCGUGAGUGAUGAAGGUCUUCGGAUCGUAAAACUCUGUUAUUAGGGAAGAACAUAUGUGUAAGUAACUGUGCACAUCUUGACGGUACCUAAUCAGAAAGCCACGGCUAACUCCGUGCCAGCAGCCGCGGUAAU